UACGGGGGGAGCAAGCGUUGUUCGGAUUUCCUGGGCGUAAAGGGCGCGUAGGCGGCCACCGCAAGUCGACUGUGAAAUCUCCGGGCUUAACCCGGAAAGGUCAGCCGAUACUGCGGGGCUAGAGUGCAGAAGGGGCAACUGGAAUUCUCGGUGUAGCGGUGAAAGGCGUAGAUAUCGAGAGGAACACCUGCGGCGAAGACGGGUCUCUGGGCAAUUCCUGACGCUGAGGCGCGAAAGCGUGGGAAGCAAACGGG
Molecule: ribosomal RNA, 254 nt
Filed under: uncultured bacterium
Lineage: Bacteria
Description: partial 16S ribosomal RNA
Rfam family: Bacterial small subunit ribosomal RNA
Source: RNAcentral